RNAcentral lists this ribosomal RNA (194 nucleotides) under uncultured Thiobacillus sp. RNAcentral's name for it is "partial 16S ribosomal RNA". It matches the Rfam family "Bacterial small subunit ribosomal RNA", at positions 1188 to 1382 of the family's 1533-position model. Lineage: Bacteria; Pseudomonadati; Pseudomonadota; Betaproteobacteria; Nitrosomonadales; Thiobacillaceae. The record is from RNAcentral.
AGUCUCAUGGCCCUUAUGGGUAGGGCUUCACACGUCAUACAAUGGUCGGUACAGAGGGUUGCCAAGCCGCGAGGCGGAGCCAAUCCCACAAAGCCGAUCGUAGUCCGGAUUGUUCUCUGCAACUCGAGAGCAUGAAGUCGGAAUCGCUAGUAAUCGCAGGUCAGCAUACUGCGGUGAAUACGUUCCCGGGUCUU